UAGCCAAAGCAAAUAUACUUUAGGAAAAUAAAAAAAGGAACACUAGCCAAAAUCUCCUACAGUAGUCCACGAUCAUGCAGACUGGAAGGAGAUCCUUGGGGUGACUAAUAUAACUGUCAUCCCAUGCAUCUAAAAAAUCGGUAAAUGCAGAAGAGCUUCAAAAACAUAGCAAAAAUCCUUAGAAGCUCUUGUUUAUGGAAUCCCAUAACAAAGAUGCUGACUGAUCAGAUUACCUAACUAAUAAUGGAUGGAUACAUAUAUAUAAUUUUUCUAAUGUAGUCCUUAAUUAAUAAGGAAGCCAGAGAUACACUACUCGCUUGGUUUACUAGAGUCCUCAUGUUCUUGAUAAUCAGAACUAGAGGAGCUAUCGAACCAUGGCGAGAAUCUCAUCGGAUCUUGCUGUUGAAACUGAUGUUGUUGCUGCUGCUGCUGUGAUGAAAAAUUGGAUGGAUAAUGCGGCACAUAAGGCUGCUGCUGAUUAAAGAGAGUUGAAGUGUAAUAAG
RNAcentral lists this unclassified non-coding RNA (503 nucleotides) under Hevea brasiliensis (rubber tree). Lineage: Eukaryota; Viridiplantae; Streptophyta; Magnoliopsida; Malpighiales; Euphorbiaceae. The record is from RNAcentral.